AGUGAACGCUGGCGGUAGGCCUAACACAUGCAAGUCGAACGGCAGCACAGUAAGAGCUUGCUCUUACGGGUGGCGAGUGGCGGACGGGUGAGGAAUACAUCGGAAUCUACUUUUUCGUGGGGGAUAACGUAGGGAAGCUUACGCUAAUACCGCAUACGACCCACGGGUGAAAGCAGGGGAUCUUCGGACCUUGCGCGAUUGAAUGAGCCGAUGUCGGAUUAGCUAGUUGGCGGGGUAAAGGCCCACCAAGGCGACGAUCCGUAGCUGGUCUGAGAGGAUGAUCAGCCACACUGGAACUGAGACACGGUCCAGACUCCUACGGGAGGCAGCAGUGGGGAAUAUUGGACAAUGGGCGCAAGCCUGAUCCAGCCAUACCGCGUGGGUGAAGAAGGCCUUCGGGUUGUAAAGCCCUUUUGUUGGGAAAGAAAAGCAGCAGGUUAAUACCCCGCUGUUCUGACGGUACCCAAAGAAUAAGCACCGGCUAACUUCGUG
Molecule: ribosomal RNA, 492 nt
Filed under: uncultured bacterium
Lineage: Bacteria
Description: partial 16S ribosomal RNA
Rfam family: Bacterial small subunit ribosomal RNA
Source: RNAcentral